AGCAGCCGCGGUAAUUCCAGCUCCAAUAGCGUAUAUUAAAGUUGUUGCAGUUAAAAAGCUCGUAGUUGAAUUUCGGGGUUAGUAGAUUGGUCAUGCCUCUGGUAUGCACUGGUCUCACUGAUUCCUCCUUCCUGAUGAGCCGUAAUGCCAUUAAUUUGGUGUUGCGGGGAAUUUGGACUGUUACUUUGAAAAAAUUAGAGUGUUUAAAGCAAGCUAACGCUUGAAUACAUUAGCAUGGAAUAAUGAAAUAGGACGUUCGAUCCUAUUUUGUUGGUUUCUAGGAUUGACGUAAUGAUUAAUAGGGAUAGUUGGGGGCAUUAGUAUUCAAUUGUCAGAGGUGAAAUUUUUGGAUUUAUUGAAGACUAACUACUGCGAAAGCAUUUGCCAAGGAUGUUUUCAUUAAUCAAGAACGAAAGUUAGGGGAUCGAAGACGAUCAGAUACCGUCGUAGUCUUAACCAUAAACUAUGCCGACUAGGGAUCGGAUGAUGUUAAUUUUUUAAUGACUCAUUCGGCGCCUUACG
This 522-nucleotide ribosomal RNA is filed under the name uncultured Glomus. RNAcentral describes it as "SSU rRNA". It matches the Rfam family "Eukaryotic small subunit ribosomal RNA", at positions 569 to 1092 of the family's 1831-position model. The record is from RNAcentral. Lineage: Eukaryota; Fungi; Glomeromycota; Glomeromycetes; Glomerales; Glomeraceae.